GAUGAACGCUAGCGGGAGGCUUAACACAUGCAAGUCGAGGGGCAGCAUAGGGUAGCAAUACCUGGUGGCGACCGGCGCAAGGGUGCGUAACGCGUGAGCAACAUGCCCUAUACAGGGGGAUAAUCCAGGGAAACUUGGUCUAAUAUCCCAUAGUAUUUAGAGGAGGCAUCUUCUAUAAAUUAAAGCUUCGGUGGUAUAGGAUUGGCUCGCGUGACAUUAGCUAGAUGGUGAGGUAACGGCUCACCAUGGCAAUGAUGUCUAGGGGUUCUGAGAGGAAGGCCCCCCACACUGGGACUGAGACACGGCCCAGACUCCUACGGGAGGCAGCAGUGAGGAAUAUUGGACAAUGGAUGGAAAUCUGAUCCAGCCAUGCCGCGUGCAGGAAGACAGCCCUAUGGGUUGUAAACUGCUUUUAUAUGGGAGCAAUAAGGUCUACGUGUAGACUGAUGAGAGUACCAUAUGAAUAAGC
This 469-nucleotide ribosomal RNA is filed under the name uncultured bacterium. RNAcentral's name for it is "bacterial SSU rRNA". It matches the Rfam family "Bacterial small subunit ribosomal RNA", at positions 28 to 491 of the family's 1533-position model. The record is from RNAcentral.